RNAcentral lists this ribosomal RNA (1241 nucleotides) under metagenome. Its description in RNAcentral is "SSU rRNA". It matches the Rfam family "Eukaryotic small subunit ribosomal RNA", at positions 637 to 1794 of the family's 1831-position model. The record is from RNAcentral.
AAUUAGUUUUGUCAGAGGAUGAUUGACGAGAGUUUAUCACUCUUGUUCGUCUACCUUUGAUAGACUUUAGUCGGGCUGGGUCUUCGGUCCACGUCUGACAGUUGCUGCGUGUUUACUUACCACGGUUUAUCCGUGAGGCCCUUGGCUUGCAACUGUAAAUAAAUCGUUGUGCUUAAAGCGGGCUAUGAUACUCUGCCAGAGCGAUUUAGCAUGGGACUGCAGAGUAGCUGUAUUUGAGUGAAGGUUGUAUUUCGGUAUGACUGGAUCUUGGUACAGCGCUUGUAAUGGAGCUCAGGGUGAGGCCCCGGGUACCAUGAGGCUAGAGGUGAAAUUCUGAGACCCUCAUGUGACCAACUAAGGCGAAAGCUGUCGUGGGCCACCACAAGCUCGUCUAUCAGGGACGAAAGUUGGGGGAUCGAAGACGAUUAGAUACCGUCGUAGUCCCAACUAUAAACGAUACCAACCGAGUAUUUGGGAAGACACUAUCCCAGCGAUCUUCUCAGAACUCAAGGGAAACCUUAAGUCUUUGGGUUCUGGGGGGAGUAUAGUCGCAAGACCGAAACUUAAAGGAAUUGACGGAAAGGCACCACCAGGAGUGGAGUCUGCGGCUUAAUUCGACUCAACACGGGGAAACUCACCAGGUCAGGACACAAGUUUGAUUGACAGGUUAAUAGCCCUUUCUUGAUUGUGUGGUGGGUAGUGCAUGCCGUUUCCAGUUCGUGGAGUGAUCUGUCUUGUUAAUUCAGAUAACGAACGAGACCUAAGCCUUUAACUAGCCGUAGGCCUUUUCCUUCGGGGAAAGGUUUAGUUUGUCGGGACAGGUUCUGCCUGUUCCUAAACCUACGAGACUUUUGUCAGCUUCUUAAAGGGACUUCAUUCGUAAACUAGGAUGAGGAAGAUUUAGGCCAUAACAGGUCUGUGAUGCUCUUAGAUGUCCUGGGCUGCACGCGUACUACAAUAACGGUACCAGCGAGCGCUAUGGUUUUAUAACCCCUUAUCCUAAUAGGAUUGGGAAAACUUUUCAAACACCGUUAUGACAGGGAUCGAGGAUUGGAACAUCCUCGUGAACGAGGAAUUCCUAGUAAGCGUGGUUCAUCAUACCACAUUGAUUACGUCCCUGCCUUUUGUACACACCGCCCGUCGCUCCUACCGAUGGGACGAAGAGAUGAACCUGGCGGACCGAACCGCAAGGUAAGGGAAACCAGUUAAAUCUCUUCGUCUGUAGGAAGGAAAAGUCGUAA